UAGGGAAUAUUGCAUAAUGGGCGAAAGCCUGAUGCAGCAACGCCGCGUGUGCGAUGAAGGCCUUCGGGUUGUAAAGCACUUUUCAGAGGGAAGAGGAAGGACGGUACCUCUGGAAUAAGUCUCGGCUAACUACGUGCCAGCAGCCGCGGUAACACGUAGGAGACAAGCGUUAUUCGGAUUUACUGGGCGUAAAGCGCGUGCAGGCGGUUUGGCAAGUUGGAUGUGAAAGCUCCUGGCUUAACUGGGAGAGGUCGUUCAAAACUACCAGACUUGAGAGUGAUAGAGGAAGAUGGAAUUCCGGGUGUAGUGGUGAAAUGCGUAGAUAUCCGGAGGAACACCAGUGGCGAAAGCGGUCUUCUGGAUCACUUCUGACGCUCAGACGCGAAAGCUAGGGUAGCAAACGG
Molecule: ribosomal RNA, 404 nt
Filed under: uncultured bacterium
Lineage: Bacteria
Description: bacterial SSU rRNA
Rfam family: Bacterial small subunit ribosomal RNA
Source: RNAcentral